ACGUAGGGACCAAGCGUUGUUCGGAUUUACUGGGCGUAAAGGGCGCGUAGGCGGCGUGGUAAGUCACUUGUGAAAUCUCUGAGCUUAACUCAGAACGGCCAAGUGAUACUGCUGUGCUUGAGUGUGGAAGGGGCAAUCGGAAUUCUUGGUGUAGCGGUGAAAUGCGUAGAUAUCAAGAGGAACACCUGAGGUGAAGGCGGGUUGCUGGGCUGACACUGACGCUGAAGCGCGAAAGCUAGGGGAGCGAACGGGA
RNAcentral lists this ribosomal RNA (253 nucleotides) under uncultured prokaryote. RNAcentral describes it as "partial 16S ribosomal RNA". It matches the Rfam family "Bacterial small subunit ribosomal RNA", at positions 525 to 777 of the family's 1533-position model. The record is from RNAcentral.